CAGCCGCCACGGUAAUACGAAGGGUGCAAGCGUUAAUCGGAAUUACUGGGCGUAAAGCGUGCGUAGGCGGUUUGUUAAGUCUGUUGUGAAAUCCCCGGGCUCAACCUGGGAAUGGCAAUGGAUACUGGCAAGCUAGAGUGUGUCAGAGGAUGGUGGAAUUCCCGGUGUAGCGGUGAAAUGCGUAGAGAUCGGGAGGAACAUCAGUGGCGAAGGCGGCCAUCUGGGACAACACUGACGCUGAGGCACGAAAGCGUGGGGAGCAAACAGGAUUAGAUACCCCUGUAGUCCCUGUCUCUUAUAC
RNAcentral lists this ribosomal RNA (301 nucleotides) under uncultured bacterium. Its description in RNAcentral is "partial 16S ribosomal RNA". It matches the Rfam family "Bacterial small subunit ribosomal RNA", at positions 509 to 807 of the family's 1533-position model. The record is from RNAcentral.